GAAACCCAGUGGUGUAACCCUUCAUGGUUUGACUAAAUGGGUGCCUCGACCUGGACCAAUUGACCGUGAGGUCGGCAGGGUAGCCUGCUGGUUAGAGCGUUGGACUAGUAACUGAAAGGUUGCAAGUUCAAAUCCCUGAGCUGACAAGGUGCAGUUCUCCCUGAUCGACCAGCGGCCCGCUGCCUAGAUGGAGGCUGUCUGUCUCACGGCAUCCAGCUACUGACCUAUGGAACUCUGGCCGGUGGUCUACUCUCAGAGCGCUAUCUAGGGAAGGCAGAGCCUACAAGCAGGGCAGAGCUCAACACCGCCUCCCU
Molecule: long non-coding RNA, 314 nt
Filed under: Salmo salar (Atlantic salmon)
Lineage: Eukaryota; Metazoa; Chordata; Actinopteri; Salmoniformes; Salmonidae
Description: lncRNA (ENSSSAG00000094982.1, ENSSSAG00000098592.1, ENSSSAG00020080114.1, ENSSSAG00075030330.1)
Source: RNAcentral